Lathyrus oleraceus (garden pea) is the source of this 2118-nucleotide long non-coding RNA. RefSeq lists it as uncharacterized. The transcript is spliced from 4 exons. NCBI's taxonomy places the organism in Eukaryota, Viridiplantae, Streptophyta, Magnoliopsida, Fabales, Fabaceae. The record is from RefSeq and is a predicted model, not a curated record.
ACUCCGCAAAAAAAAAUGACUUUACCAAACCAAAAAAUGAAAGAAGAAAGAGCCCUAGCUCUCUAAUUUACUGUUACCAUUUCCAGUUGCAUCAACAACACCAUAAGCCAAAUACAACGAGAUAAGGACUUCACCAACACCAUAAGGAAAAUACAACGAGAAGCUUCCAUCUUCCUUCUAGGAACCAAGCAAGGUAUAAUCAAUUUUUUUGCAAAAAAAUAAAAAGGAUUUGAGUCUGUCAGAACACCGUGUGACCACCCCAGUUGGUAGGCACCAACUGAGAACGAUCAUCUACAGCUUGGAUGAUGACCACAACAUGCAGAUCAUCUGGACCGUUAAUCACGCUCUGAUCACACGGUCAUGAUUCAUCCACCAGACUUAUGUUCCUGUCUCCUUAGAAAUCAAGGACACAGUAGUACGAGCCUAUAGAACAGAUCCUGUUCAAGUAAGGACAAAAGCAUGCUGCUGAAACUUGUGUUCAAUACAGCUUCUCUGUUGCAAGAAGAAGCACAUGUUGGUUUUUGGGCUUGCCGGCGGCCGGUAUGGUGGAAAUUUGGCUCUCCGCCAUCCUAGAAGUGAGAACACAAGAUUGAGAACUUUUUUAUGAUGGCCUUUGAAAAUCCUUUCCUGUGAUUGGAUAAAACGUUUGAAAUCUUGAAAUGUUCAGCAGUCGCUCAGUUUGUAUACUCCUAUGUGCUUAACCAUUCUUGCAGGGUGUAUGUAUUUUUCUUUGAAAAGGUUAAAUGGAUCACCUUGUUGUUCAAUAAAGAGUACAGUUUGUUUUAUCUUUCAUUGGAAUUUGGUAUUUUUGUUUAUAAUGCUUGCAUAAUCUGCUGACCUGCGUUUGUACAAUAAGGUAAAGUCUCUCUCUUGCGAGGUGAGUUCUUAAUCAUGUGCUAUAUAUGUGUGCUCCUCUUCUCUUGUGAGACUUCAAGAUAUAAAAGGGUUCCCCAUGAUUGGCAUUUAGAAUUCUACUUAUUCUAGUUUCCAACUCGGAGGACAUUUUAGUUAUACCAACACUCGGAGGACAUUUUAGGUAUACACCUCAUUCCCAUUCGGUUCAGUUGAUUUUUCGUCGUAUGUUUGUAUUAUUAAUUGUUACCGAUAAUCAAUGGCUAGACACUCUACUCUGUCUUAGUUUGGUCUUGAAUAUUUUGUUACUCGUAUAUGAAAAAUCACCGUUGGAAAUGCAUUGAGGGACAAAAGAAAUCAAGUAGCUGGAUAAUUUACCGUUGUCUUUAGAAUGAACCGAUACAAUGUUAUCUAAGUCCCACAUCAGAAUUGUCAGAGUGAAUAGUACGAAACACGAGGUAUAAAACAUAAGUGUGUCCAUUACUCAUGAAAUUGGUUGAUAAUUAUUAAGUUGAUAAUUAUUAAUUUCAUAUAAUAAAGAAAUAAAAUAGGUAACCCUUGUUAAUCAUGGUAUAAAGCAUAUGGUGCAUGCAUGAUUUUCCUUUGAAUAUGUAAGCUUGUCACAUGUCAACCCAACAUUGUGAAUUUGUUAAUAAGAAACAAAGUGACUAUUGAGGUUUACUAUACCAACACUCGGAGGACAUUUCAGUUAUACACCUCAUUCCCAUUUUAUUAUUAUUAUCAUGGCAUGUAUAACAAAGCACCAUGUUUGGAACAAGUGUGACAAGCUUACAAAAUUUUAAGGAUAAUUCAUGUUGCUACCACAUGCUUACAUUGAUUAAGAGAGACUAGCUGUAUGUGCUGCAUUAUUAUUUUUGAAUGAAGGGUAAAUUUCUUGCUAUUAUAUAUAGUUAGUGUCAAAGAAGACGAAGUUGAUCAUACCAUUGAAGAAGAUGGAUGUUGAAUUUGAAGUAUCCCCAUUAUUGAAUGAAUAUUAUCAAAAAAUUCAUAGAUUUUCCAAUCUAUCAUAACUUUGUAAGUUAUAGCAACAUAGCCUUAUGCCUUCAUAGAAUUGAAUUAGGUUAUUGAUAAUAUCCUUCAAUGUUGCAACAAUUAAAUAUAACUAGCGGAACGAUUGCAAAAUCAUCUUUCACACAGUGCUCUUUUAUUAAUGACAUAGCAAAUUGCAUUGCUUCAUACAAGUCAUUUGCUACUUGAUACAACAAUUCAUUACUAGAUAUAUCCAUUGAACUAAUUUGUAUUUUU